Molecule: ribosomal RNA, 271 nt
Filed under: uncultured bacterium
Lineage: Bacteria
Description: partial 16S ribosomal RNA
Rfam family: Bacterial small subunit ribosomal RNA
Source: RNAcentral
GACGGAGGAGGCUAGCGUUGUUCGGAAUUACUGGGCGUAAAGCGUGUGUAGGCGGUGAGGUAAGUCAGGUGUGAAAUCCCACGGCUCAACCAUGGAAGUGCACUUGAUACUGCUUCGCUUGAGUACUGGAGAGGUUGGUGGAAUUCUUGGUGUAGAGGUGAAAUUCGUAGAUAUCAAGAGGAACACCGGUGGCGAAGGCGGCCAACUGGACAGAUACUGACGCUGAGACACGAAAGCGCGGGGAGCAAACAGGAUUAGAAACCCUAGUAGU